AUUGAACGCUGGCGGCAUGCCUUACACAUGCAAGUCGAACGGCAGCAUGGAGAGCUUGCUCUCUGAUGGCGAGUGGCGAACGGGUGAGUAGUGCAUCGGAACGUACCGUGUAAUGGGGGAUAACGUAGCGAAAGUUACGCUAAUACCGCAUACGACCUGAGGGUGAAAGCAGGGGAUCGCAAGACCUUGCGUUAUACGAGCGGCCGAUGUCAGAUUAGCUAGUUGGUGAGGUAAAGGCUCACCAAGGCGACGAUCUGUAGCGGGUCUGAGAGGCGCAUCCGCCACACUGGGACUGAGACACGGCCCAGACUCCUACGGGAGGCAGCAGUGGGGAAUUGUGGACAAUGGGGGCAACCCUGAUCCAGCCAUGCCGCGUGAGUGAAGAAGGCCUUCGGGUUGUAAAGCUCUUUCGGCCGGGAAGAAAUCGCACAGGCUAAUACUCUGUGUGGAUGACGGUACCGGCAUAAGAAGCACCGGCUAACUACGUGCCAGCAGCCGCCGUAA
RNAcentral lists this ribosomal RNA (504 nucleotides) under uncultured bacterium. Its description in RNAcentral is "partial 16S ribosomal RNA". It matches the Rfam family "Bacterial small subunit ribosomal RNA", at positions 30 to 523 of the family's 1533-position model. The record is from RNAcentral.